This 316-nucleotide ribosomal RNA is filed under the name uncultured Tremella. RNAcentral's name for it is "partial large subunit ribosomal RNA". It matches the Rfam family "Eukaryotic large subunit ribosomal RNA", at positions 40 to 350 of the family's 3401-position model. The record is from RNAcentral. Lineage: Eukaryota; Fungi; Basidiomycota; Tremellomycetes; Tremellales; Tremellaceae.
AUAUCAAUAAGCGGAGGAAAAGAAACUAACAAGGAUUCCCCUAGUAACGGCGAGUGAACCGGGAAGAGCUCAAAUUUGUAAUCUGGCGCGCUCCGUGCGUCCGAGUUGUAAUCUACAGAAGCGUUUUCCGCGCCGGACCGUGUCCAAGUCCCUUGGAACAGGGUAUCAAAGAGGGUGACAAUCCCGUGCUUGACACGACGACCGGUGCUAUGUGAUACGUUUUCGACGAGUCGAGUUGUUUGGGAAUGCAGCUCAAAACGGGUGGUAAAUUCCAUCUAAAGCUAAAUAUUGGCGAGAGACCGAUAGCGCACAAGUA